UAAUAGCUCUAAACUCAACAUUACUGUAAAAGAAGAUCUGAGAUCCCAAGGACAGAGAAAUGACAUUCUAACUAAAAUUAAAGAGCACGGGUACCACAUGAAAGCAGAAGUUUGCAUCCUUCACCACUGUCUUCCCAGUGACCACAGGGACAUUGCCUGCAAUAUAAUUUUUAGCUCACUGAGGGCAAGGGCCAUGCCUUAUCAUCAACAUUGAGAAAUGAUUUUGAAAUGACCCCAAAACAAGAAAUCAGUUAAUUGAUUAAUGUGCUUGCGUAUGAUGAAGUUUCCACUGGUUGUUAACGAAAAAAUACGGUAAGCGCAUUUUUUUUUUUUUUGGUUUGGAAGGAAGACAUG
Molecule: long non-coding RNA, 354 nt
Organism: Phyllostomus discolor (pale spear-nosed bat)
Lineage: Eukaryota; Metazoa; Chordata; Mammalia; Chiroptera; Phyllostomidae
Exons: 3
Source: RefSeq, a predicted model, not a curated record